RNAcentral lists this unclassified non-coding RNA (203 nucleotides) under Hevea brasiliensis (rubber tree). Lineage: Eukaryota; Viridiplantae; Streptophyta; Magnoliopsida; Malpighiales; Euphorbiaceae. The record is from RNAcentral.
AACUAUGUGUAUGGCCUUGUUGCUCCAUUUAAGAUCCCACCACCCAUCCAGAAAGCCAUCAUAAUGGAAUAAAAUAACAGUAAAAUUCUCUGGAAGAAACUGGACAAUGGCAUCAACAUUGUGCUUUUGCUUAAUACCAACUGGAAUAGCCAGCAAGUUGCGAUGGCUAGAAUUAUCAAUCUUUGACCUUGAGCUACUUGUUG